GGUUAAGCGACUAAGCGUACACGGUGGAUGCCCUGGCAGUCAGAGGCGAUGAAGGACGUGCUAAUCUGCGAUAAGCGUCGGUAAGGUGAUAUGAACCGUUAUAACCGACGAUUUCCGAAUGGGGAAACCCAGUGUGAUUCGUCA
Molecule: non-coding RNA, 144 nt
Filed under: Buttiauxella agrestis ATCC 33320
Lineage: Bacteria; Pseudomonadati; Pseudomonadota; Gammaproteobacteria; Enterobacterales; Enterobacteriaceae
Description: Bacterial large subunit ribosomal RNA
Rfam family: Bacterial large subunit ribosomal RNA
Source: Rfam by way of RNAcentral